ACUAACGCUGGCGGCGUGCCUAACACAUGCAAGUCGAACGAUCUUUGAUUAUAGCAAUAUUAUUAAAGAGGAGUGGCGAACGGGUGAGUAACACGUAGAUAAUCUGCCUUCAGACGGGGACAACUCAGGGAAACUUGUGCUAAUACCCGAUGAGACCACAAGAAGGGAUUUUUGUGGCCAAAGGCGGGCAGCAAUGCUCGUGCUGAAAGAUGAGUCUGCGUCCUAUCAGCUAGUUGGUGGGGUAAAUGCCUACCAAAGGCUAAGACGGGUAGCCGGCCUGAGAGGGUGAACGGCCACACUGGGACUGAGACACGGCCCAGACUCCUACGGGAGGCAGCAGUGAGGAAUUUUCCGCAAUGGGCGCAAGCCUGACGGAGCGACGCCGCGUGAGGGAUGACAGCUUUCGGGUUGUAAACCUCUUUUAUUAAGGAAAAAGAUCUAUAUGCUAAUAUCAUGUAGAUUUGAUGGUACUUAUUGAAUAAGCCCCGGCUAACUACGUGCCAGCCGCCGC
Molecule: ribosomal RNA, 511 nt
Filed under: uncultured bacterium
Lineage: Bacteria
Description: bacterial SSU rRNA
Rfam family: Bacterial small subunit ribosomal RNA
Source: RNAcentral